This 376-nucleotide long non-coding RNA is filed under the name Rhinopithecus bieti (black snub-nosed monkey). Its description in RNAcentral is "lncRNA (ENSRBIG00000045575.1)". The record is from RNAcentral. Lineage: Eukaryota; Metazoa; Chordata; Mammalia; Primates; Cercopithecidae.
UGAAAAACAGCUGGAGGUGGCAACUUACCAGGUAAAAGCAGAUUGGGGGACCGAUAAAAUUAUUCAGAUGCUCAUGGACAGCUCCUCUGUAAUUCACAGGAAAGCCUACACUUACAUCUGAGACGCAGCCUUAUGGAAACGUCCCAACAGAAUUUACAAACUCAGGUAGUCAACAGUGUGAACUGCAAGUCGUCUAUUUAUAACUGUGAUGAUCCACUAGCAUCCCUGCUCUCUCCAAUGGCUUUUUCCAGUUCCUCAGAUCUCACUGGCACUCACAGCCCAGCUCAACUCAACUGGAGAGUUGGUAAGUAGGCUGACUGAAAUCCUAAUGCCAAGCACUAAAUAACUACACGGUGGGUAGAUGGAGGAAAGUGAG